RNAcentral lists this ribosomal RNA (430 nucleotides) under uncultured bacterium. RNAcentral describes it as "bacterial SSU rRNA". It matches the Rfam family "Bacterial small subunit ribosomal RNA", at positions 29 to 507 of the family's 1533-position model. The record is from RNAcentral.
AACGAACGCUGGCGGCAGGCCUAACACAUGCAAGUCGAACGCCCCGCAAGGGGAGUGGCAGACGGGUGAGUAACACGUGGGAACAUGCCCUUUGGUUUGGGAUAACUCAGGGAAACUUGAGCUAAUACCGGAUAAGCCCGAGAGGGGAAAGAUUUAUCGCCGAAGGAUUGGCCCGCGUCCGAUUAGCUAGUUGGUGAGGUAAUGGCUCACCAAGGCGACGAUCGGUAGCUGGUCUGAGAGGAUGAUCAGCCACACUGGGACUGAGACACGGCCCAGACUCCUACGGGAGGCAGCAGUGGGGAAUAUUGGACAAUGGGCGAAAGCCUGAUCCAGCAAUGCCGCGCGAGUGAUGAAGGCCUUCGGGUCGUAAAGGCUCUUUGUAAGGGAGAUAAUGACGGUACCUUACGAAUAAGCCCCGGCUAACUUCGUG